Long non-coding RNA from Ictalurus punctatus (channel catfish), 1566 nucleotides. The record is from Ensembl. NCBI's taxonomy places the organism in Eukaryota, Metazoa, Chordata, Actinopteri, Siluriformes, Ictaluridae.
CAAGGCGUCCCGGGGUCCGAUGAUGAAAGAUAAGCGGGAGACCGUUUCGAGGCGCUCCGAAAGGCGGACCCUUAUGGCCCAGAAGUCAUUUGUGUCAGGCGUGAAGUGAAGGCGCCUCGGCAAACGGGGAGAAAUAGUCCUAUUUAUAUUGUUUAAAAAGAAAAAGAAAAAAAAGAAAGAAAGAAAGAAACGGCACAUGGUAGAAACAUCUGGACUUCUUCAUCAAUACACUUCACUCAGCACAGAUGAAAAUCGGAAUACCUCAAAACAUUCCAAAGACUCACCAUUGACAUGCAGAUUGAAGCAGAAAUAAAUGCAGAAAUGAGAUGUGGAAACUCUAGAGAGUGCCUGAGGUUCUCCUAUAGAGGGUAUGCAUUGACAUCACUAUUCCUGCCAGAACACCCCCCCUCGGCUGGACUGAGUGGCAAAACAUCCAGCAAAAUGGCUGGUUUCAAUAGGGGAAGCUGCAAAAAUGCUAGUAUAACUAACAAUUAUCAGCUUAAAUUAAAGGCAGUUGGACUCGACAGUGACCCUUACAACUUGCCAAGAACCUGUGGUCCAUGGACAUUAACAUGUGGCCAGAAAUCGGUUUUCCCAACAUUUAUAUGUACCUGAUUUUGACGCAAAUACAAAUACAAAUACACUAAACAAAAAGGACGAAUGCAUACAAAAGCCUUGACGCUUGGUCCUACUUCUAGGCGGGAUUUGUUGGAGAAAUUAAAGUGACAAGAACACCAAUAAACAUUCUGGUUGUAUGUGGACAGGUAUAAACAAAUAUCUUUAUUUUAUGAUAUAAUUUUAUCUGGUAAACCCUAAGCUAGCUAGUCCUAGUUUGUUUGUCGUUAACACUGCUUCCACAUACUAACGUUAUAUAUUUGUGAAGGUAAAACACAGUCAGAGAAUGAAUGAGCCCCCCAUUAUUCAUCAAUGGAAAUAGGCAGAGUUUAAAAAGAAAUACGUAGUUAAUCAUUCAACAUUGUACAACAUGAAUACCAUAUGCAAAAAGAACUUACAAUUACACUGCUAGACUCAAUUAAAAAAGGAGUGAAUGUUUUUUUUUGGCACUCUGUAAAAAGAUAGCUCUGAAUUCUUGUUGAAUCUGUUAGCACAGUCGAUCUCACAACAACUUUUUCCUAUUUUAGAUGUGUUUUCGUGGAAUUCACACUGUACACUAACUGCAGCGAGUUCCGGCUACCAUGACAUAUAGAGGUGCAUCCCCUCUAUAGGAUGCGCUGCCAGAAUGGACGUCCAUAUAGUUUUCUCUCACAACAAAAAGUGUACCGCUGUUCUUCCUUUGUCUAGUUUCUCAUUAAAAGUGGAAUAUUGCUUUAUUCAUGUUUUAUUUACAUGUACUCUUUCAGUUCUUGGUACACUUUCCAUUCAACCACCCCUCCCCCUUUAAAAAACCCUAAAAGCAUAUGGAAAUAAAAUACCAAAUCCUUGGCUAAGGUUAAAUGCCUAUGCCUAUAAUUUAAUUGGAGGGUUUAGUCAGUAAAAGUGAAAGUCAUUCUCCAAAUCUCAGUUCAAGCAAAAUGAUGAAAGCAUCCCAUCUUAAAUCAAUUUCAU